This is a long non-coding RNA of Gadus morhua (Atlantic cod), 2168 nucleotides long. Lineage: Eukaryota; Metazoa; Chordata; Actinopteri; Gadiformes; Gadidae. The record is from Ensembl.
CACAAAGUAGUCAUCCGCUGUAGUAGUGCGGCAUUGCCAUCAGUGGUUGCAUUGACGGUUUUAGUCGCUAUAUUGUUUGGAUGAAGGCCUAGACCACAAACAAUGACCCCAGGGUUAUUGCCGACUACUUCGUGUCAUCUGCUGCACGCUUGGGAGGAUGCCCGGAGCGUCUGCGUGCUGACAGAGGAACGAAAAAUGGACACGUCGAGAUUAAAGUCGACAUGACAUUUAAACUUUAUCCUCGACAUUUCGAGUUUAAUGUCGACAUGUUGACUUUAAAGUCGACGUGUCGAUUUUAAUCUCGUCACGGCGAAAAAAAACAAAAUCUUCACGUGUGGCCCUAAUACUCCGUCGUAGUAACUACAUUGUAAAAAGUAUCAAUAAUAUAUUUUUGUGUGCACUAUUGCACCUGCAUUAUUUCUUAUGCUCGAUGUCUUCUUCUCAAAAUGUUACAGACAGGUGAAGUUAAGCUAGCAGUUUGAAUCACUUACCUGGAAAAUGCGGGCGAUCCUGUCGACACGCAUAUCGUCCAUUUUAAGAGUAAUUCUCUUGUUCCCUCUGAACAGCACAAACGUCUCCAUUUUAUCCGACGAUUAGGCUUAUUCUGUUUGUUAAGUUAUUAGUUAGUUUUAUUCAAUCAAUCCUGCACGGCCGGGAUAUCUGAAGGGGAAGAGGACGGUGGAGGUCGCUCAAAGCGCAAACUUUUUGGCGGAUUGCUUCUGCGCAUGACAGAAUGUGAAAAAACCCGCCAAAGCAAAAGAAGAAGAAGACGGUAGGCGGUUAGAUGAAAUGGAGUCCAGUUUGUCACCCUACCGAGAAAUAAUUGAAAGUAUGCUCCGAAACGGCCAUUCUGAUGAAGAAAUUUCCAGUCAUCUCCACCUGGAAUGUGGAUUGACUUUUUUUUUUUUGCUUUGGAAAGGCUUUUCCAAAGCAAACAUUCGUACAUUUUCCGCACAAAACGGUAUAGGAAGAGAACGAUUGCAGGACUCCAAACUGGAGAGCGAGAUUGCUCAAGCAAUUAAUGAGACUGGACCAUCAUAUGGAAGAAGAAUGAUGACGGGCUACCUGUCCUCCAAAGGUAUCAGAGCAUCUGAGGGGCGCGUUGGUAGUGUCCUCAGACAUAUUAACAGGCCAUAUCAUGCAGAUCGUCAUCAGAGAUCAAGGAACUUAAAUCCAGUGCCAUACAGUGCCGAGUGCAUGGGUCACAAACUGCACUUAGAUGGUGAUGUUCGGGGUGACCCAUGUCCUUGCUGUUGACGGUUUCUCCAGUAAAAUUGUCAGCCAUUCCACUAUGCCUGUCAAAAACAACCUGACAAUAUAUCAAGAGGUGUACAGAAGUGCUGUCCUACAGCACAGAAUGUGGGACCAAAUACGAGUGGACCACGGAAGAGAGUUUUUCUUGACUCUUUUCAUGCAGGAGAAAUUGGCAGGCUACAGAAAUAACACAGCAAGGGAGCCGUACCUGCAAACAUCGUCAACACAUAAUCAUAUAAUUGAAAGGAUGUGGCCAGAUGUUAAUAACAGGGUAAACCACCCUCUGAAAAAGGGCUCUCAUCCACCUUGUAGACCAGGAGGAACUCAACAUGGAGGACAACUUGACACGGUAUUGUGUGUCCACGCUUACCUGUCAGGUGGCUCAGAUUGGACUUGACCGGAUGGUGCAGUCCUGGAAUGCACACAGGAUCCAAGGCAAGGGCAUCCCAGAUCAACUGACUCUGGGUGGAUGCCCAAAGAAAGCGCCAGCAGAUUGUCUGCCAGAGGCUGCAGGAGCUGCACACACUUACCUGCAGGAAGUGGGGUCCUCUUUGACACAAGUGUCAAUGUUUGGGAGAAAUCCAUUCUCCACAGCUGAAAACCAGACAGUAGCUGAACAUGAAUUUGCACAGCAGUACAGCGACGUUUCGGAAUUCUAUAACCACACCGUCAACUAUGAACCAACCCAUUUCCAAAAUGGAAUUAGGGAUCUUAUUGACAUUGUGAGAAGACAUGUGUAGCCUGAUCUGUCGGAUCGCAGAAGCUAUGCAGGGUCUGGCCUGGAGCUUCCUGUAUGUUAGUUGAGAAGUUUUUUUUUGAUGUUCUAAUGUUGCGUUGUUAAUGUGUUAGACGGCUUAGAUGUUCUUAGAUGUUUUGUUAACCUGAUUCGUCUCUCACUCUGUUCAAAUAAAAGU